GUAGGGAGCGAGCGUUGUCCGGAAUUACUGGGCGUAAAGCGCAUGUAGGCGGACAUUUAAGUCAGGGGUGAAAUCCCGGGGCUCAACCUCGGAACUGCCUUUGAUACUGGGUGUCUAGAGUGUGGAAGAGGUAAGUGGAAUUCCGAGUGUAGAGGUGAAAUUCGUAGAUAUUCGGAGGAACACCAGUGGCGAAGGCGGCUUACUGGUCCAUUACUGACGCUGAGGUGCGAAAGCGUGGGGAGC
RNAcentral lists this ribosomal RNA (243 nucleotides) under uncultured bacterium. Its description in RNAcentral is "partial 16S ribosomal RNA". It matches the Rfam family "Bacterial small subunit ribosomal RNA", at positions 527 to 769 of the family's 1533-position model. The record is from RNAcentral.